Molecule: ribosomal RNA, 729 nt
Filed under: uncultured bacterium
Lineage: Bacteria
Description: bacterial SSU rRNA
Rfam family: Bacterial small subunit ribosomal RNA
Source: RNAcentral
AACAGGAUUAGAUACCCUGGUAGUCCACGCCCUAAACUAUGUCAACUGGUUGUCGGGGAAGCAAUUCCUUGGUAACGAAGCUAACGCGUGAAGUUGACCGCCUGGGGAGUACGGCCGCAAGGUUAAAACUCAAAGGAAUUGACGGGGACCCGCACAAGCGGUGGAUUAUGUGGAUUAAUUCGAUGCAACGCGAAAAACCUUACCUACCCUUGACAUGCCAGGAACCUCGCAGAGAUGUGAGGGUGCCCGAAAGGGAACCUGGACACAGGUGCUGCAUGGCUGUCGUCAGCUCGUGUCGUGAGAUGUUGGGUUAAGUCCCGCAACGAGCGCAACCCUUGCCAUUAGUUGCCACAUUCAGUUGGGCACUCUAAUGGGACUGCCGGUGACAAACCGGAGGAAGGUGGGGAUGACGUCAAGUCCUCAUGGCCCUUAUGGGUAGGGCUUCACACGUAAUACAAUGGCCGGUACAGAGGGCAGCCAACCCGCGAGGGGGAGCUAAUCCCAGAAAGCCGGUCGUAGUCCGGAUUGCAGUCUGCAACUCGACUGCAUGAAGCCGGAAUCGCUAGUAAUCGCGGAUCAGCAUGUCGCGGUGAAUACGUUCCCGGGUCUUGUACACACCGCCCGUCACACCAUGGGAGUGGGUUCCACCAGAAGUAGUUAGCCUAACCGCAAGGAGGGCGACUACCACGGUGAGAUUCAUGACUGGGGUGAAGUCGUAACAAGGUAACC